This 445-nucleotide long non-coding RNA is filed under the name Corvus moneduloides (New Caledonian crow). RNAcentral's name for it is "lncRNA (ENSCMUG00000001834.2)". Lineage: Eukaryota; Metazoa; Chordata; Aves; Passeriformes; Corvidae. The record is from RNAcentral.
AUGCUGUUUCUGACAUUAGCCAUGGGUACUCCUGGAGUAUUUCCAAGUUUUCUAAAUAAAUGUUCUUGUGUCAUCUCCCUGUUUUGGUUUGUUUUAUUUUUUCUAUUUUGUUUCUGUGCUUAUGUCACUCUCCUUUCCACCAGGCUGGAAAUGGAGAACAUGUCUUGGAGUUCCCUGCACAAGAUUCCUGUUUCCAGUCUCACUGUGUCUGGCUGUCCUUGGAGCACUCAUGCCCGUUGCAGUGAGCAGAAGGGAGCCCUGGUUGGGUGCUGUUCUGAGCAUACAGGGCCACUGGUGUCCCUACAGCAGUAUGGCAGAGCACUGCAUCAGGUUAUUAACAUCCUGCAGCAAAGGCAUCACUUCAGCCUAAACAUUUGUGGAAGAAAUAAACUCUACAUGAAAACUGAAUGUAAUUAAGUCUUACAUUCAGGACCCUGAUGAGUGA